RNAcentral lists this transfer RNA (87 nucleotides) under Candidatus Omnitrophota bacterium. Its description in RNAcentral is "Candidatus Omnitrophica bacterium tRNA-Ser". It matches the Rfam family "tRNA". From Rfam's summary of the family: Transfer RNA (tRNA) molecules are approximately 80 nucleotides in length. Their secondary structure includes four short double-helical elements and three loops (D, anti-codon, and T loops). Lineage: Bacteria; Pseudomonadati; Candidatus Omnitrophota. The record is from RNAcentral.
GGAGAGGUCGCAUAGCCCGGUCGAGUGCGCGUGUUUGGAGUACACGUAAUCCGUAAGGAUUCCAGGGUUCGAAUCCCUGCCUCUCCG